This 496-nucleotide ribosomal RNA is filed under the name uncultured bacterium. RNAcentral's name for it is "partial 16S ribosomal RNA". It matches the Rfam family "Bacterial small subunit ribosomal RNA", at positions 28 to 506 of the family's 1533-position model. The record is from RNAcentral.
GAUGAACGCUGGCGGCGUGCCUAAUACAUGCAAGUCGAGCGAACAGACGAGGAGCUUGCUCCUCUGACGUUAGCGGCGGACGGGUGAGUAACACGUGGAUAACCUACCUAUAAGACUGGGAUAACUUCGGGAAACCGGAGCUAAUACCGGAUAAUAUAUUGAACCGCAUGGUUCAAUAGUGAAAGACGGUUUUGCUGUCACUUAUAGAUGGAUCCGCGCCGCAUUAGCUAGUUGGUAAGGUAACGGCUUACCAAGGCAACGAUGCGUAGCCGACCUGAGAGGGUGAUCGGCCACACUGGAACUGAGACACGGUCCAGACUCCGACGGGAGGCAGCAGUAGGGAAUCUUCCGCAAUGGGCGAAAGCCUGACGGAGCAACGCCGCGUGAGUGAUGAAGGUCUUCGGAUCGUAAAACUCUGUUAUUAGGGAAGAACAAAUGUGUAAGUAACUAUGCACGUCUUGACGGUACCUAAUCAGAAACCCACGGCUAACUACGU